AGGGGCACGAUUCAAAAUAAAAGGGCAGUUAGCAAAGGAAGUUCACGUAUGCACCCCUUCCUCUUAAUCCGUCGUUACCGUCAGUGCCAUUUACGUAUGGCCGGCCGGCGUAUUUUUUAUUUACACGCUAGCGAGGGGAAUUUCUCGAUUAAUUCCAAUGAAACCGCUUAAAAUUCCAAUGAAACCGCUCGCGAAGAGUCUAGCCUAGAUCGGAGAGCUCGCUAGUGCUAUACGCUAGUGUGAAUUUACAUCCAGGAGAAAGUUUGCUUAACUUUUUCUUGAAACACUUGAACGGUUAUGGAAACUGUUUGUGUUUCUAAUCUCCAAAUAUUAAUAUUAUUC
Long non-coding RNA from Strongylocentrotus purpuratus (purple sea urchin), 342 nucleotides. RefSeq lists it as uncharacterized. The record is from RefSeq and is a predicted model, not a curated record. The transcript is spliced from 3 exons. NCBI's taxonomy places the organism in Eukaryota, Metazoa, Echinodermata, Echinoidea, Camarodonta, Strongylocentrotidae.